AGUGAGCGCUGGCGGUAGGCCUAACACAUGCAAGUCGAACGGCAGCACAGUAAGAGCUUGCUCUUACGGGUGGCGAGUGGCGGACGGGUGAGGAAUACAUCGGAAUCUACUUUUUCGUGGGGGAUAACGUAGGGAAACUUACGCUAAUACCGCAUACGACCUACGGGUGAAAGCAGGGGAUCUUCGGACCUUGCGCGAUUGAAUGAGCCGAUGUCGGAUUAGCUAGUUGGCGGGGUAAAGGCCCACCAAGGCGACGAUCCGUAGCUGGUCUGAGAGGAUGAUCAGCCACACUGGAACUGAGACACGGUCCAGACUCCGACGGGAGGCAGCAGUGGGGAAUAUUGGACAAUGGGCGCAAGCCUGAUCCAGCCAUACCGCGUGGGUGAAGAAGGCCUUCGGGUUGUAAAGCCCUUUUGUUGGGAAAGAAAAGCAGCAGGUUAAUACCCCGCUGUUCUGACGGUACCCAAAGAAUAAGCACCGGCAAACUUCGU
Molecule: ribosomal RNA, 491 nt
Filed under: uncultured bacterium
Lineage: Bacteria
Description: partial 16S ribosomal RNA
Rfam family: Bacterial small subunit ribosomal RNA
Source: RNAcentral